This 406-nucleotide ribosomal RNA is filed under the name uncultured bacterium. RNAcentral describes it as "partial 16S ribosomal RNA". It matches the Rfam family "Bacterial small subunit ribosomal RNA", at positions 30 to 526 of the family's 1533-position model. The record is from RNAcentral.
AUUGAACGCUGGCGGCAGGCCUAACACAUGCAAGUCGAACGAGUGGCGGACGGGUGAGUAAUGUCUGGGAAACUGCCCGAUGGAGGGGGAUAACUACUGGAAACGGUAGCUAAUACCGCAUACCAUCGGAUGUGCCCAGAUGGGAUUAGCUAGUAGGUGGGGUAACGGCUCACCUAGGCGACGCUCCCUAGCUGGUCCGAGAGGAUGACCAGCAACACUGUAACGGAGACACGGUCCAGACUCCUACGGGAGGCAGCAGUGGGGAAUAUUGCACAAUGGGCGCAAUCCUAAUGCAUCCAUGCCGCGUGUAUGAAGAGUGCCUUCGGGUUGUAAAGUACUUUCAUCGAGGAGGCGUUACUCGCAGAAUAAGCACCGGCUAACUCCGUGCCAGCAGCCGCGGUAGUUC